CCCUUAGAUGUCCUGGGCCGCACGCGUGCUACACUGAGUAAAUCAAUGGGUAAGGGAACACGAAAGUGCAACCUAAUCUUCAAAUUUGCUCGUGAUGGGGAUCGACGGUUGCAAUUUUCCGUCGUGAACGAGGAAUACCUUGUAGGCGCGUGUCAUCAUCACGCGCCGAAUACGUCCCUGCCCUUUGUACACACCGCCCGUCGCUCCUACCGAUUGAGUGAUCCGGUGAGGCUCUGGGACCUGGACGGAAAGAGCGUUUCGCUUGUUCUGUUUGGGAAACUUGGUCGAACCUUAUCAUUUAGAGGAAGGAGAAGUCGUAACA
This 322-nucleotide ribosomal RNA is filed under the name uncultured eukaryote. RNAcentral's name for it is "partial 18S ribosomal RNA". It matches the Rfam family "Eukaryotic small subunit ribosomal RNA", at positions 1470 to 1796 of the family's 1831-position model. The record is from RNAcentral.